AGAGUUUGAUUAUGGCUCAGGACGAACGCUGGCGGCGUGCUUAACAUAUGCAAGUCGAACGAAGAGAGGUGCUUCGGUAUUUCUCUUAGUGGCGGACUGGUGAGUAACACGUGAGUAACCUGCCUCAUACAGGGGGAUAACUGGAAGAAAUUUCAGCUAAUACCGCAUAAUACAAGAAAUCGCAUGGUUGAAGAGUUAAGGGAGAAAUCCGGUAUGAGAUGGACUCGCGCAUCAUUAGCUAGUUGGUGAGAUAAAGGCCCACCAAGGCUACGAUGAUUAGCCGGCCUGAGAGGGUGUACGGCCACAUUGGGACUGAGAUACGGCCCAG
RNAcentral lists this ribosomal RNA (328 nucleotides) under uncultured bacterium. Its description in RNAcentral is "bacterial SSU rRNA". It matches the Rfam family "Bacterial small subunit ribosomal RNA", at positions 8 to 334 of the family's 1533-position model. The record is from RNAcentral.